RNAcentral lists this ribosomal RNA (467 nucleotides) under uncultured bacterium. RNAcentral's name for it is "bacterial SSU rRNA". It matches the Rfam family "Bacterial small subunit ribosomal RNA", at positions 328 to 792 of the family's 1533-position model. The record is from RNAcentral.
CGGCCAGACUCCUACGGGAGGCAGCAGUGAGGAAUAUUGGUCAAUGGGCGGGAGCCUGAACCAGCCAAGUCGCGUGAGGGAUGACGGCCCUAUGGGUUGUAAACCUCUUUUGCCGGGGAGCAAAGUGCCGCACGUGUGCGAUUUGGAGAGUACCCGGAGAAAAAGCAUCGGCUAACUUCGUGCCAGCAGCCGCGGUAAUACGGAGGGUGCAAGCGUUGUCCGGAAUCAUUGGGCGUAAAGAGUUCGUAGGCGGCAUGUAAAGUCAGGUGUUAAAGGCGCAGGCUCAACCUGUGUAUGGCACUUGAUACUUGCAAGCUGGAAUGCGGUAGAGGUAAAGGGAAUUCCUGGUGUAGCGGUGAAAUGCUUAGAUAUCAGGAGGAACAUCGGUGGCGUAAGCGCUUUACUGGGCCGUAAUUGACGCUGAGGAACGAAAGCCAGGGUAGCAAAUGGGAUUAGAUACCCUAGUA